GGCACUAUGGUGGAGUGGUUAACACGUGUGUCUCAAGUACACAUCCUCCGAUGAGGGCACGGGUUCGAAUCCCGUUGGUGCUA
This 83-nucleotide transfer RNA is filed under the name Pyramimonas orientalis virus. RNAcentral's name for it is "tRNA-Leu". It matches the Rfam family "tRNA". Rfam says of the family: Transfer RNA (tRNA) molecules are approximately 80 nucleotides in length. Their secondary structure includes four short double-helical elements and three loops (D, anti-codon, and T loops). Further hydrogen bonds mediate the characteristic L-shaped molecular structure. tRNAs have two regions of fundamental functional importance: the anti-codon, which is responsible for specific mRNA codon recognition, and the 3' end, to which the tRNAs corresponding amino acid is attached (by aminoacyl-tRNA synthetases). tRNAs cope with the degeneracy of the genetic code in two manners: having more than one tRNA (with a specific anti-codon) for a particular amino acid; and 'wobble' base-pairing, i.e. permitting non-standard base-pairing at the 3rd anti-codon position. Lineage: Varidnaviria; Bamfordvirae; Nucleocytoviricota; Megaviricetes; Imitervirales; Allomimiviridae. The record is from RNAcentral.